UUGAACGCUGGCGGUAUGCUUUACACAUGCAAGUCGAACGGAUUAAAGAGCUUGCUCUUUAGUUAGUGGCGAACGGGUGAGUAAUAUAUCGGAACAUAUCCGGAAGUGGGGGAUAACGUAGCGAAAGUUACGCUAAUACCGCAUAUGCCCUGAGGGGGAAAGGGGGGGAUCGCAAGACCUCUCGCUUUCGGAGUGGCCGAUAUCGGAUUAGCUAGUAGGUGAGGUAAAGGCUCACCUAGGCGACGAUCCGUAGCUGGUCUGAGAGGACGACCAGCCACACUGGAACUGAGACACGGUCCAGACUCCUACGGGAGGCAGCAGUGGGGAAUUUUGGACAAUGGGCGAAAGCCUGAUCCAGCCAUACCGCGUGAGUGAAGAAGGCCUUCGGGUUGUAAAGCUCUUUCAGCCGGAAAGAAAUCGCAUUCCUUAAUACGGGAUGUGGAUGACGGUACCGGAAGAAGAAGCACCGGCUAACUACGU
Molecule: ribosomal RNA, 480 nt
Filed under: uncultured bacterium
Lineage: Bacteria
Description: bacterial SSU rRNA
Rfam family: Bacterial small subunit ribosomal RNA
Source: RNAcentral